GGGCUGGGGCUCAGCGGUAGAGCGCUCGCCUGGCACGUGCGAGGUGCUGGGUUCGAUCCUCAGCACCACA
RNAcentral lists this transfer RNA (70 nucleotides) under Marmota monax (woodchuck). Its description in RNAcentral is "tRNA.Ala". The record is from RNAcentral. Lineage: Eukaryota; Metazoa; Chordata; Mammalia; Rodentia; Sciuridae.